GGGGAUAUAGCUCAGUGGUAGAGCACCCUUGGGUUCAAUUCCUAAUACCAUCA
RNAcentral lists this transfer RNA (53 nucleotides) under Marmota marmota marmota (Alpine marmot). It matches the Rfam family "tRNA". From Rfam's summary of the family: Transfer RNA (tRNA) molecules are approximately 80 nucleotides in length. Their secondary structure includes four short double-helical elements and three loops (D, anti-codon, and T loops). Further hydrogen bonds mediate the characteristic L-shaped molecular structure. tRNAs have two regions of fundamental functional importance: the anti-codon, which is responsible for specific mRNA codon recognition, and the 3' end, to which the tRNAs corresponding amino acid is attached (by aminoacyl-tRNA synthetases). tRNAs cope with the degeneracy of the genetic code in two manners: having more than one tRNA (with a specific anti-codon) for a particular amino acid; and 'wobble' base-pairing, i.e. permitting non-standard base-pairing at the 3rd anti-codon position. RNAcentral also lists the same sequence under 4 other names. The record is from Rfam by way of RNAcentral. Lineage: Eukaryota; Metazoa; Chordata; Mammalia; Rodentia; Sciuridae.